GAUGAAGAACGUAGCGAAAUGCGAUAAGUAAUGUGAAUUGCAGAAUUCAGUGAAUCAUCGAAUCUUUGAACGCACAUUGCGCCCCUUGGUAUUCCGAGGGGCAUGCCUGUUGAGCGUCAUUAUAACCCCUCAAGCUCAGCUUGGUGUUGGGGCCUGCUGCACUGGCAGCCCUUAAAAUCAGUGGCGGCGCCAUCUGGCUCUAAGCGUAGUAAUUCUUCUCGCUAUGGAGUCCUGGUGGAUGCUUGCCAUCAACCCCCAAUUUUUCUAUGGUUGACCUCGGAUCAGGUAGGGAUACCCGCUGAACUUAAGCAUAUCAAUAAGCGGAGGA
This 328-nucleotide unclassified non-coding RNA is filed under the name soil metagenome. Its description in RNAcentral is "partial contains 5.8S ribosomal RNA, internal transcribed spacer 2, and large subunit ribosomal RNA". The stretch from base 1 to 119 matches the Rfam family "5.8S ribosomal RNA", at positions 35 to 154 of the family's 154-position model. The record is from RNAcentral.